UUCUACAAAUUUAUUAUUUUGGGCUUUCACUUGUUUUUUUUUUCUUUUUGCAGAUACAUUUAGGAAUAAUUGUUUUCCUGCCUUUACCAAACGAAUUUUUCCUUCAGCAGUUCAACCUACUAGUACAGUAUCACAGUGGAUUCGCCUUCUAAGUCUUAAAGGACUUUGUUGUGGAGAGAUUGUCCAUGAAAAGGAAUUCAGUUAAUUUUCGAUGCUAAUGAAGCAACUGAUCCAUUUGACGUAAGGGAGAGAACUGGAAAUUAAUUUGGAAACCACCCAAACAGAUUGUCUGCAGUGGUACUCUCCUAGAUUUGGAUUGCACAUUUCACAUUUGAACGCUACUUCUUCACUUAAGAUUAUCCAAGAAAAGAGAGAGACUUAAAGUCAGCUUGGUCAUACUGAAACCAGCAAUGUCUAGAUGGGUUUCAUCUUUCCUGGAGUAUAUACUUGAUUUGCUGCUUUGUCUUCACCUUGAACCAUUAUGCAGUCAAUUUUCAACCUACGAAUGAGAGCAACUGGAGGUUUCUUUGACUUCUUUUGAAACAACAAAUUUUCUGCUAUGGUAUUCCUCCUGGAUUUGGUUUGCUUUUCACACAUGCAAACUUUGGAAUG
Molecule: long non-coding RNA, 612 nt
Filed under: Agrilus planipennis (emerald ash borer)
Lineage: Eukaryota; Metazoa; Arthropoda; Insecta; Coleoptera; Buprestidae
Description: uncharacterized LOC112905653, transcript variant X1
Source: RNAcentral